RNAcentral lists this small RNA (111 nucleotides) under Chrysemys picta bellii (western painted turtle). Its description in RNAcentral is "TUC338 (ENSCPBG00000006205.1)". The record is from RNAcentral. Lineage: Eukaryota; Metazoa; Chordata; Testudines; Emydidae.
ACUAAUUAUUCACAAGACAGGUACAGCCUAGGGAGUGGCACUGCAAGCUUCCCCUACAUUGCCCCACCUUCCUCUACAUUGCCCUGUUUGACAUUUAUUGGCAGUGGUGGU